Molecule: ribosomal RNA, 453 nt
Filed under: uncultured Thiobacillus sp.
Lineage: Bacteria; Pseudomonadati; Pseudomonadota; Betaproteobacteria; Nitrosomonadales; Thiobacillaceae
Description: bacterial SSU rRNA
Rfam family: Bacterial small subunit ribosomal RNA
Source: RNAcentral
ACAAGCGGUGGAUGAUGUGGAUUAAUUCGAUGCAACGCGAAGAACCUUACCUACCCUUGACAUGUCCGGAACUUGCCAGAGAUGGCUUGGUGCCCGAAAGGGAAUCGGAACACAGGUGCUGCAUGGCUGUCGUCAGCUCGUGUCGUGAGAUGUUGGGUUAAGUCCCGCAACGAGCGCAACCCUUAUCAUUAGUUGCUACGCAAGGGCACUCUAAUGAGACUGCCGGUGACAAACCGGAGGAAGGUGGGGAUGACGUCAAGUCCUCAUGGCCCUUAUGGGUAGGGCUUCACACGUCAUACAAUGGUCGGUACAGAGGGUUGCCAAGCCGCGAGGCGGAGCCAAUCCCACAAAGCCGAUCGUAGUCCGGAUUGUUCUCUGCAACUCGAGAGCAUGAAGUCGGAAUCGCUAGUAAUCGCAGGUCAGCAUACUGCGGUGAAUACGUUCCCGGGUCUU